AAUUUGUAAACAUAAUUAGUGUGUGUGUGUGUAAAAGAAAUGAUAUAUCAAGUGGCGAUCUGAUCUAGGAUUUUGAUUUGAUUAAAGUCGGAGAUAACAAGAGAAUUUAUAAUUAAAAGUAUGUUAAUGCCGCUGUUGGCAACUUGUCCUAGAAUUUAAUCCUGAAUUAUGAGUCUCAAUUGGAAAAUUUUGCUUGAUGUAUUCAUCAUUUUGUUUAUUAUUUGACUGCUAUUAUAUAUAACAUGCGCCCAUGCAUGCAUGUGUCAGUACUCAGUCCAAGAUUUCCGCCGGCGGAGUUUUCAGUUGGAGGGCUGGUAUCGGUUGCAAAAACAAACGUCAUGCCAUCUGCAGAAUCCGUUGUAUUUGGGUAGGGUGAGAUCCUAAUGGUGAAGGUGGUACUAAUCAUAGCUGGCCAUGCAGUCACAGGCUGGCUGUAUAAAACCCGUCCAACCUUUUUUAGCGGCAGCUGAUCUGGCGAUUCUGGUGAAGGGUCUGAUGUGAGGCUCAAGUAGCCAUAACUUGGAGUCACUGCGCCCAUGCAAAUUAGGCUGCCAUCGCUACAACUUUUUGGGUUGAAUGAGGAAAAUGAGAAGCUAACAGGUGGAUCCACAGGGAUUGAUGAAGAAGCACUGGGAAGAAAAAUUGAAAGGAGUAGUAGGAAAAUCAUUUUGUUUGGGACGAAAAUUUGAGGGCUACUUCUCGAAUGGCAUUGCUCAACAUCACAUGUACUUAUAUAGCAUUUAUUUUACUUUAUGGAUAAAAGUUUUCCCCUAAUCUCAUCUUUUAUUUGAGUAAAUAUAUUUGUAUGAUUUAUAAUUGGUAAUAGAAAAUAUAACAAUUAAGUAAAUCUUAUUCAUGUAUUAAAUAUAUAUAUAUAUAUAAAUUUAAAACAUAUAUAAAAAUAUCUUUAUCUAUUAAGUUGUGCUUUUUUCCCAAAAAAAAAAAAGUUGUGCCGAAUUCACGUUCGCAUAUAUUUUAUUUGAGUUUUUUCCUAAUCUAAUAUGAUAUUUUAUUUGAGUAAAUAUAUUUGUAAGAUUAAUAAUUAGUAAAGGAUAAUAUAAUAAUUAAAUAAAUUUUAAUCAUGUAUUAAUAUAUAUAGUCUCUGAUUGGAAUAGCCUCUUUUAAUUUUUUUUGGUUUGGCUGCACAUGGUGGGCUCCACCAUGUGCAGCCACAGCUGGCCACCAGCCUCUCUCCCGGAUAUUGUUCCAAUUCGGAAUCCCGGAUUGAAACAGUACUAUAUAUAUAAACUUGAAGUAUAUAUUAAAAUAUCUUUAUCUAUUCAGUUGUGCCUUUUUUUCAAAAAAACUUUUUUGCCAAAUUCACGUUUGCUAAAUAGGCCGACAAUAUAGGUGUGCAAUUAAGUAGGGAUGACAAUGGGGAGGGGAUCAACAUUCCCAUACCCAUUCCCGAUAUUCUGCAUAUGUCCCCAUCCACUUUUUGUUCUCGUCAGAAUUAUUUGAGGGAAUCUUCGUCCCCUCCCCGAAUAAUAACAAGAGAUCUCCGAAGGUCUCUAAUCCCUGAAUAACUGAAUUUUUUGUUUGUUUUCAAACUUAAUUUAAUCAUAUUAACUUAAAAAUAUAUAAAAUGAAAGUGAAAUUGAUCAUGAAUAUUUCAUUCUACUCCUUCAAACUUUUGGUAUAUAUAUUAUUCAAAUAAUGAUUUUCAAAAUAAAAUUUAAAUAAUGUGAUUUUUAUACAAUAUUUACGUGAUUGUUGUUUAUGAGUAAUGAUGCCUGCUGAUCACCAGCUAUGGCGCAACAAAUCCCCAUGUGUGGCUGCUAGUUGACGUUGCGAUGAGUUAGGCUACUUAGCCACUAACAACGCAACAUGCUAAUUGACGUUGCUAUGAAAGAGUACUCUAUCUUAAAUCGGUUCCAACAUAAUCAAAUGGCUCUAAAGUAGCCAUAGCUAUCAGUUAAUUAAGCUAGUAUGCUUGUGUGUCUGAGAUCUAGGGGGCUGAUAUAUGAUGAGCCUUUGGCCGGCAAAGACAAGCAAAUCAUUGAAAAAUGACAAUGUUUUUACGAAGACAUGAAUAUACGUUAUAAUUUCGUGACUUGAAUUUAAUCCCUUCAAUCCGCAUCAUGAAUAUAGGAGUGGCUCUUGGAUCUCACACGUGCCGUGUUUCUUCAUCUUGGAAAUUGAUGAUUAUCUUAUCUUCGACGGCGCCAAAGCAACGGAACAUUGUGAUUCACUUAAAUAUUCACGUUUUUUUUAGGCUAUUUUAGAUUUCAAUUUUAUAUACUCUUUAGGAUAAUAUAAUUUUCUGGACUGUGUGAACUAUAAUUUAGAAUUUUAGAUAAUUCAAUUGUACAUCGUGAGCGAAUUCUCUUUUUAACAUAUCAAUUCAAUUGUACGGCAUUAGAAUAACAUACUGGAGAUUUGAUCAGAACUCCAAAAUACAUCCAGUUAACGAAAUGGGAUUUGAAUAUUAAUUUCACACAACAACGUUACUUUUGACAAGAUAUUGAGUUACUUUCAAAAUUAAAUCUAAAAAUGAAACACUCAAAGCGAUAUUGACAUUAAAUAAUUUAUGUUGCAAAAUGAUGAUAUCAAUUGAUUUUUUUUCAUGUUAAUAAAAAAAUUAGAGACGAGUUUCAAUUCAAAAUUAAAUCCAACAAGAAACUAAUAGUUUUAAGAGUACAUUUCACAAAAACCACGUAGACAUAUAUUAUAUGACUUAAAUUUUACAUUCGGUAAAUAUUAAAUUUUACAUGGAAAAAUGUGGUUUUUAAAAAAUAUUAUCUUAUAGAUUUUAUUAAAUUAUUAACACGUUGGCCCUAAGUAAGAAAUAACAAAAACUAUUAUUUAAUUAAGAUUAUUAAUUUAUCAAGCAUUAAGAUCGUAUUGUAAUUAACUGGUCUUUUCUCAAUGCAAAAUAAAUUAACAAAUCAUAUAAAUGAAGUGACAUAUGGCAUACUACAAUUUCUUUCUUAGCUAAUCUGGCGAGGAUAUUGUAAAAGCAAAAUAAAAAUAUGAUCGGCCUAAGGCCUAAUUUAUACAAAAUAUUUAAUAACAUAAAAGCAAGUAAUCAAGCAUCGAAAUUAGGGAUUCGUCUUCCAAUAUAUAAGCAUGUUAUAUUGGCAAUGAUUUUGUCAUAUAUAAAUGUCAUUAUGGAUAUAGUCAAAUAUAUCCUGAUUUAGAAAGACUUUUGAUGUGGAUUCUUAUCAGAUACUUCAUUUUUAUUAUCCAUAGAUGUCAGAAUGAAUUUUCAUGCGAAUUUUGGAGUCCACAACGUUGUGAAACUCUAAAUUCACACAAUAUCAGUACGAACAUCGAAUGAGAAAAUGAAUGUACAUGAUAUUUCUAACGGUGCGUUUACUUUUCGGAUUCGGGAAUCAGAAUCCGGAAUCGAAAUAAUUGAUGGCAUUUACUUCGCAAAUAUGAAGUAGGAAUCGGAAUCGGAAUGGUGGGGCCCACCACUAUUUGGGAAUGGGGAAUAGGAGAUUGUUUCCCGUGUAGAGGUGGGAAUGAGUCUCUCAUUCUUAGGAUUAACCAUUUUGCCCUCCCCCAAAAUUAAAAAUGCCAACUUUAUCCUCUUUUAUAAUUAAUUAAUUAAUAUACUAUUAUAGUUAAUUAAUAUAAUAUAUUAUGAUUAAUUAAUGUAUAAAUAUAUUAUUAACUAUAAUUAUUAAAAAUUACAGUUCUUGAAUAAAUAAUCACAAUAAUUAAUAUAUUAUUAUUGUAAUUAAUUAAUUAAUAUACUAUUAUAAUAAUUAUUAAUAAAAUUAUUAUAAGUAAUUCAUAUAUUAUUAAUUAAUUAAUAUAUUUUUACUAAUAAUUAAUAUAUUAUUAACAAUAAUUAUAAUUAUAAUUUUUGAAUAAAUAAUCACAAUAAUUAAUAUAUAUUGUUAUUGUAAUUAAUUAAUUAAUUAAUAUAAUAUUAUAAUAAUAAAAAUAUAAUUAUUAUAAUUAAUUCAUAUAUUAUUAUUAUUAUAAUUAAUAUAAUUAAUUAAAUAAAUAAUAUAAUUAUUACUACUAAUUAAUAUAUUAAUAUAUUAUUAACAAUAAUGAUUAAUAAUUAUAAUUUUGAAUAAAUAAUCAUAAUAAUUAAUAUAUUAUUUUAAUUAAGUAAUUAAUAUUAAUAUUAUUAGUUAAUAUAUUUUUAUAAUAAUUGUUAAUAUAGUUAUUAUAAUUAAUUAAUUACAUUUUUUACAAUUAAUUAAUAUAUUAGUUAAUAAUAAUUAUGACAAUAAACCAUUAAGUAUUUUUUAGUAAUUUGUUACAAUUUAACUCAUUCCGAUUUCGAUUCCAAGACAAAGUAAACAUAUUAAUGACAAUCCAGUUCAUUCCGAUUUCGAUUCCUAUAAUUCAAAUAAACAACUUAUUUGUAUUUUCAUUCCAGCCCAUUCACAUUAUUGUCCAUUCCGAUUCCAGCUCAUUCCAAUUUUAGUUUAGUAAACGCAGCAUAAAUGUCUGGUUAAAUUUUUAUUUUAUGAUUUCCACUAUGAGAAGAGAAUUUUGGUCCGAUAAAGAAGAGAACAAGAGAAAGGAAAAGAAAAAGAAGACAUCAAAAGUUCAAAGCUGCAACGUAAUCAAUAGAAACUGAAUAUGAACAUUUCUACACAAGCACAUACAGUACAUCUCAGAUAGCAAGCCAACAAUAUUAAUCUUCGUCGUUGCUAUCGUUUUAUUCAAUAUUUAUAUACAAAGCCAUUUCACUUUAUUGACGAUAUUAAUUGUUAUUUAUUAUAAUUUAUGUGACAUGGUUUUUCAAGGACAGAUUAGAAUUUUAUUGGCAUCAUCAGGUUUUGCUCCUUGAGGGGAGAACAAGUCAUCCGUAUUUGGAGCAACAAUAAAUAAAAUAAAUAACUCUGUUCGGUGGAAGCAGGCUGAAAAUAGCCCAACUAAACCACUAUAAUUUAGAAGGGGAAGUAAGGCUGCUUGUAUCGUGAGUGAUUGGAUUGUUGAUUAAUUAUUUUUUGAAGUCUCAAAACUUGGUUUCCUUGACGAUCAUCAUGGAAAACUAACGUUUACAAAUUAGUUUGGCAAGUUGGCUUGUAAAUGUAUGAAGGAGAAAAAAAGUAGCCAAAUUAAUGGCUAACCGUUGACGGGAAGACCAUCAAAUUUUCAGAAAUUUUUUCAAAAUCUAGACCCGAGGGUUUUCCAUUAUCAAAAAAAGAAAAAAAACCGAAGCUCUUUCUCUGUGCUAGAUUUUGCAACCGAUGCAGUCUUGACCUCUCGUAAUUAUACCGAUACUUUUUGUGUACUUCUAAUUCCAACUACUUCCUGUAAGCAGCAAUAUCUUGAGACUAUUUUAGGAGUCCUUCACUCAAGUAUAACAAUUAUUCUUGAAAGAUUGAUAAUAAGUCUUUGACUUUGUGUGUUUAACCACGGAUAAUUUUUUGGCUUUUGACAUUUUCACCCUCAUCCUCAAUUCAUCUUCAUCUUCAUCAACAGAACUAACUCAAAUGGUAGCACAUUUCUACUAUGUGUAUCACGUUUAAAACUAUAUCCUUUGGAUUCUAUAAGUUCAAAUCCAACGACCAUUUCAAAUGGGGAUAGAAAAUGGGGUACCUUACCACCACGGUUAAGGUAGGUAGCUGGACCUAUAUGUAUUACGGUAAUUAAUAAAUAUUUUUAUUACUAAUUUCAUUUGUAAUUUAUUUUAAUUAGAUUUGUAAUGAUAAUAGGAAUAUAAAAAAGAACAAAAACUAGAUGCAUUGCAGAGCAAAAAAUAGAAAUUAAUAUAUUAUAAAAAAAAUUCACCAAACACAUUUUUAUUAUUUUGAUAUUUUCAAACAAACUACCAAAUUUACUUUUUAUAUAUAUUUUUUCUUUUUCAUUUGAUAUCUUAUCUUGAAAACAAAAUACCAAAUGCCUUUUCCUUUUAAGAACAUCACACCAAAAAUAUCAUUUUUCUCCUCUAAAAAAAAUUAUAAAAAAGCACAAAAUAAAAAAAAAUAAUGCCAACCACACUCUAAAGGUUUUGUAAUUUGCAAUAUCUGACGCCUAUCAAUGAAUUAAGAUUGUCUAUGUUCUAAGGAGAUGAUAUAUGAUGGGGCUUUGGCCUAUAAAGACAAGCAAAUCAUUGGAAAAUGACAAAAAUGACAAUCUCUUUAUGAAGACAUGAAUACACAUGAUAAUCUCGUGACUUUAAUUUAGUCCAUUCAAAUCGCAUAAUGAUUAUAGGGGAGGCAAAGUCUGUGUUCUAGGAUAUAUGAUGCGGGCUUUGGCCUAUAAAGACAAGCAAAUCAUUGGAAAAUGACAACAAUGACAAUGUUUUUAUGAAGACAUGAAUACACAUGAUAAUCUUGUGACUUUAAUUUAGUCCAUUCAAAUCACAUAAUGAGAUGAUAUAUGAUGGGGCUUUGGCCUAUAAAGACAAGCAAAUAAUUGGAAAAUGACAAAAAUGACAAUGUCUUUAUGAAGACAUGAAUACACAUGAUAAUCUCGUGACUUUAAUUUAGUCCAUUCAAAUCACAUAAUGAAUAUAGGGGAGACAAAGUUUGUGUUCUAGGGAGAUGAUAUAUGAUGCGGGCUUUGGCCUAUAAAGACAAGCAGAUCAUUGGAAAAUGACAAAAAUGACAAUGUCUUUAUGAAGACAUGAAUACACAUGAUAAUCUCGUGACUUUAAUUUAGUCCAUUCAAAUCACAUAAUGAAUAGAGGGGAGACGAAGCAGCAUGUUUCUUCAUCUUAUAAAUUGUUGAUAAUCUCAUCUUGGAUGGUGCUAAAGUAGGAAACAUUUUGAUUCACUUAAAUAUUCACGUUUUUUGAUGCUACCAGAUUUCAAUUUCGUAUAUUCUUAGGAUAAUAUGUCUAUUUUUGACAUAUCAAUUCAAUUGUACUGUGUUAGAAUAACAUAAUGGAACUCCAAAAUAAAUCCAAUAAACGAUAUGGGAUUCCAAUAUUAAUUUCACACAACAAUGUUACUUUUGACAAAAUUGAGUUACUUUCACAACACCUCUUCCACUUCCAUAUAUAUGAAGCGAAUCAAUAACUUAACCCCAUAUAUACCUAAGUCAUAUAUACUCAUUUGUGGCUUCACAAAGUGUUCAUUUCUCUGUUAAUAUGCAAUAAAAUUUUGAUAAAUUAAUAAUUUUGGACAAUAAAUUUUUGUUAAUUUUAUAAAGUUAAUCGAUAGAUUAAUAAAUUAUUGAUUUUGAAGAUAUUCCUUAUUUUAGAAAACAGUAUGAUCACAUUUAUAGCAUUGAUUUGUCUUGAUUUGUAUUUAUUAUGUUUUAUUUGAAUAUUAGUUAAUUGUCUUACAUUCAUAGUAAUAAGCUUAUUAUGGAGUUUUUAUUUUUCCAUGUUAAGAAUGAUGGUUGUACUAUGGAAUCCAUGUUGUACAAAGAACUCAAAGUGAUAUUAUUAUUGAAUAAUUUCUUGUUGCAAAACAACAAUACAAUUAAUUUUUUUUGUACAUUAAGAAAAUUAGAUAUGAGAUUUAAGUCAAAAUUAAUUCCAAAAAGAAACUAGCAAUUUUAAGAGUGUAUCUUACAAAAACCAUAUAUACAUAUACUAUGUCGACUUAGUUUUACAUUAGGUGAUUGUUAAUUAAUGUAUAACGGGUAUCCUAUGGAAAAAUAUGGAUUUUUAAAAAUUAUUAUCUUAUAGAUUUUAUUAAAUUAUUAAUAGAUUGGCCUAAAGUCGAAAAUAACAAAAAAAUAUUAUUUAAUUGAGAUUAAUUUAUUAAUAUCGUACUAUACUUAGUUGUUCUUUUUUCAAUGCAAAACAAAAUGACAGAUCAUAUAAAUGAACACUACUAGAAAAAUGGUCUUUACUGACUUUAGAAUAGUGUUAGAAAUUACUUUUACUGACACUUGUUAAUUGUGUCAGUAAUCUGGGAGUCAGAAAAAUAGUGACACUUGUAAGUGGUGUCAGUGAUUACUAUUACUACAGUAUCACCGAUAUUAUGACACCAUAGUGUUAGUAGUUAUUGAUAUUUUAUUAGUAUCUAUGGUUAUUGUUACCAUGAUAUCACUAGUUAAUUUAUUUUUUAAAAAGUAAAAAAUUAAAUUGGAUCAUUGCCUAUUGAUUUAUUUGUAAAAUUAAAAGCACCACAAAAUAAAAAAAGAAAUUGAUUUAUAUCACAAAAUCUUUCAUUUCACAUUUAAAUAUUAUUAGUAUAUAUUACAAAUUGAACUUCAAUAGCCAAAAUAUGAGAUAUCCUACUCUCAUAACUAAAUAAUCCAAAUUCAAUACAUAAAAAUUAGUCUCUGUCCCUAUCUGACCAACUUCCAUCAAAAUUAACCUCAUCACUUCUGCUUUCACUGUGAUAAUUGGAGCGCCUCCGACUCCAAGUUGUUUCAUGAACUUGACGUUCAUCAUCAUGGCUUCUGCCAGAACCACUUUUCACAAUAUCAGCCUCCCUUGAUCUGGACCUUCUGUAAUGAUGCCUGCAUAAGAAAUUACAAAACCAUAAAUAACCAGAAGAUUUCUAACAUCAGCAGUAAAUACAUUAACUAAUGAAAUUUGAUCAUAGUUUGGAUCAUCAUCCUUUGUACAUAAGAUUGCAAUGCUACAUCACCAAAGGCUUCUUGUUGAAUCUAAUUAUUUUCUUGCCAUGCUUGCAACAUGGUCAUUACGCCACAUACUAAUCAUACAUUUUUGAAAGUGGGUUUUAAACUCGAACAAUAGACCAAAAAAACCAACAGAAAAACUUUCUUUAAAUCUUGCAUUGUGAGAACAUCUUUUCAUUAUUCAUUGCUUCUAAGAAAACCGAGUUAGGAGACUUGAAGAAAACACAAAUGAAGAGAACGAUACUAUGAAGAAACCUCUCAAAAUCAUUGGUCAAACAUGGAAGUUUAAACUAAAAAAUUCAAAUAACAGAAAGUGAAUUAAAUAAACAAGAGUUCAUAUAUACUAAGUACAGUUUUUAGUGUCUAUGACUAGUAAUAAAAGCAUACCUGUCGGCAUUAGUUGAAUCUAUUUUGUUCCUCGUUUGUCCUGAGCGUUCUUGAUUCCAGGUCCCAGAUUCAUCAGAAUAACCAAAUAAAGCAGUCAUCUUUUUCACCCAAUAUCUCGGAGGUGGUUUAUCCCAAUCAGCCCAUUCAUAGUCUCCGCUAGGGUUGGGAAAAUAGUGGAUAAAAUUGCAAGCCAUUCCACAAGAGCAUGUCUGUUAAAAUAUGCCCAACAAAGAUAACAAGAGUGUAAAAAAAAGAAGAAAAGAAACAAACUCAUUUAAUAUCAAAAGCAAAAUGGCAAAGAAAAAAGCAAGUGUAUAAGCCGCACAAUUAUAACUCUGAAAAAUGAGACAAUUGGCUGUACAUUUAGUCUUGACUUCAUAUAUUCCCCACAUAUGGCAAUCUUCCAUCUAGUCACAUUAAUAAAUUCACAUGUGAUCUGUCAAGAAACACACAAAUAAAUAAACCAUCACUAUCCAGAAAAUGACAAGCUGUAAAAUUCAGUAAACAGUAAUGUGUUGAUUACAAUUUAAGCAUGGAGAAAAAUUUCAGAUUAGACUAUGUCAACAGUGUCCAUAGAUAGUUAAAAGAUGGGAGACUGUGCUGGCGUUCACUAAGCAUAUAAUUUUUCACAGCUUAACCCAUUGCAAUUUUACCAGUGUCAAGUCUAAAGGAAACUAGUCAGGAAUCUUCUGUAAAGUAAAUAAAUAGUGAAACAACUGUUCUCAUAGCAAUAAAAUGAAAUUAUUUUAAUAAUUUUCUUCAACUUUCAGACCAAUUAAACAAGUGAAGCAAUUUUAGUACAAUGCACAGCAAUUUAAGCUGAAUGGACAAUUGGAAAAAUUACGGAACAACUAGACCCCAACGAAUACUACAAAAACAACCCUUAAACAAUGACUUAAGAAAGUAGAAGCUUCUCCUAGAUCAUGCCUUUUCAAUCUCCCUUUGCUAAGAAAACUGCCCUAGUAUUUAAGACUAUCCAAAUCCUAUCAACAUGUUGGGACAUUUAAAUACAGCCUCCAAGAAGACAUGCUGUAAGCUUUACAAUUGAAGUCUGUCGAAUAAACCAAAUCUUAUACCCAAUGCCAAGAGCUUUAAUUCAAUCCAUUUUAACAGGCACCAAUUACCAGGAAUGCAGGCAGACAAAGAGGAUCAAAAUGACAGGAUAUCAGUAUUCUAGAAUUUCUAUCAGAAACAUGAAAAGUGGCAAGGCCUAUUCACUGAGAGCCAAACAUUUUUUACAUAGUAGUUACUUUAUAUAAAACAAAUAAAUAUAAAGUAGAAAGUAAGCUCCAACAAUUCUUCACAAAGACCUGUUUCCCAGCAAAGUAACGACCAUUGACAGAAUGGUAAGCGAGAACAGCUGAUUCCAGCGACUUAUAGUGAACAUAGACAUUUCCUCUUAAGUGGGAAGAACCAUUUCUACACACCUGCAAAUAUUUGUUAGUUAGUAAAUGAAGAGCACCAACAACAUGUGUCAGUAAAUAGGUGUUGUGGCAAAUAAUCCUAAACCUUCCAAAGUAAUGACCAUUGUUAGAUGACCAGCUCUGACAAUCGACGAUACAUAGUAUAUUCCACAAGAAACUACUAGUUGUUAAGGAGAAAUUUUUAACUCAAACAGAGUUGUACAGUUAUGUGACUAGUGAGAGAGAGAAAGAAAGAAAGAAAUAACGAAAGAAAGAAAGAGAAAUAAGCCAAACAUAUAAACAAGAAAUUUCAUAAUAGCUAAAAUCAUUUGCAGCAUGUAGGAUACAUAAUAGCUCAUAGCCUUCACUCUUACCCAAUCAAGGCCAACACUAUGAAUCUCCAUCAUUAUGAAAACAUAAAUCUCUGAUUUCACAUAGUCAAAGAAAAGAAAUAAAAUGUGAACUCAAAAGAACUCACCAGUGAUACUAUCUAGAAUAGUUAUAAACACAUUACAAUAUAUCAACUGGAAAAAUAUUUUUCUGUAUAAAAAGCAUCUUCUAUAUAGCAAGGACAAUGCGUAUAUAAAAUGAUCCAACAAAUUGCACAAAAGUAUAGAAGUUUGGAAGAGUCCUUAUCAGGAUACAAGAAUCAGCAAUUACAUACCUCGAGCCUCUCAUCUUGCUCCCAAGCAAGCCCGAGACCAUUAUACAUAUUCUUGAUGAGCAAAGUGCACGAUUUAUCAGGGUAAAAAUGAACUAUGUUGCAUCUCUGACCAAACCGACAAGCUCCAAUCUUUAAAUGGAAAGGACAAUAAGCUUUAUCCUGCCAUAUAUAAUAAAAACAUGAUUGACCAUGAUAAAUAGGCAAAUAUAAUAGAAAUGAAAUAUAAUACAGUAAUUGCAAAUUGAAAAUUUCAGAUAGACAGAUUGAAAGAAAAGGCAUGCAUGUUCAGUUCCAAAAUUGGGCACUUGUUGAGCAACAGUCUCCAACGCCUGUUGUGCAUUCUGGUGAUCAGCAAAGGCUUCUGAUUGUGGGGGCCGAGGAUUUGAUGUAGGCCUAUCAACAUCCUGCAAAAGGAAGUAAUAACGUAGAAAGUUUAAUUUUUGCCAUAACCGAAGAGAAUGGGCAUCCUGAAGUAAAGUAGAAACAAGCCUAACAUAGUUGUCAAUAGAGUCAAAAUUACCUCCUUUUUACUUAGUGGGUUCGCAUCCUUCUUCGGAACUCUAACCUUUUUCUUCCUAAUAAUAAUCUCAUUUCCUUGCCAUAUAAUUUCUGCAGGCCCUUCUUCAACAUAUUCCCAAUCAUCAUCCUCAUCACAUUCAUUCUCCUUUUGCCUCCAAAUUCGCGAUGCUCCGAGAACAUGCCGUAGCUGGUGAGCAAGCGGAGGAUAUGUUGCAAGUUCUCGGCGUCCCCACCGCCGGAUGGGAGGAUAUGUGUCAAGAUCUAGGAGGCAGAGAGAGGGGUGUUGGCCCCAACUUGCCAGAUGGCAUCCGGUACGUGGAGACGGAUGGCAGCGGUUAGAGACAUGGGAACGCUUAUCAUGUUGGCUAGCUCCAUUAUGGCCAGUCUUACCUUCUUCCCGCCAUCUCUGCACUCGUUAUCUUCCAUUACUGCUUACUGACCUUUGAUUUCACAGCACCAUGCCGGCCAAACAAAAAGAUAAGACCUGAGCACUUUUUGACAAUUUGGAUGUUAGGGAUUUUUCAGAUCUGGGGAGCUUAGGAGGGAACGAAUGCUUUGUUAGAGGGAGUUGAAAAGUUGUAUUUUGGAUAAGGUAAGACUUGUGCAUUUGUUUUGUUUUUAUCCACUCAAAAAGUAUAACUCUAAAAAAAUUAAAAAUAAUUCGUAGCCUAGUGGUCUUUUGAUUUAAUGUAGAAGCUCUAGGUUUAAGAGGUCUUGGGUUCGAAUUCAGACUAAAACAAAAUUAAAAUGAUAAUUUUUAAUUGCUGAUACCUAAGCGUCAUUGAUCGCUAUUACUAAAGCUAUUGAUACUUCAGUAUUAGUAAUUAGUGAUACAUAUUUGUUAAACGUGGAAAAUGAUCCAAAUAUAUGUAUAUACUGAUACUUUUAAAUAAAGUGUCAGAACAUAAGUAUCAGUAAAAACCAUUUUUCUAAUAGUGGAAGCGACAUGUGGCUUAGUUCAAUUUCUUUCUUAAUUAAUUUAAUGAGGAUAUGGUAAAAGCAAAAUAAAAAGAUCAUUAGCUCUAAGGCCUAAUUUAUACAAAAUGAUUAAUAACAUAAAAGUAAGUGAUCAAUCAUCCUAGCUGUAUGUUAGGGAUUCAUCUUCCAAUAUAUAUGUAUGUUAUAUUGGCAAUGAUUUUGCCAUAUAUAAAUGUCAUUAUGGACAUUAGCCAAAUAUAUCUUGAUUUGGAAAGAGUCCUUUAUGUGAAUUCUUAUCACACAUUUCAUAUUUAUUGUCGAUAGAACUAUAGACUAUGCUAUAGAUGUAUGAAUUCAUAUUUCUAAUAAAGUUUAUAUUGUUAUAUAGAUGUAGAGAAAAAUUUUGGACGUCUGCACGAAUUUAAUUUCAUUUGAAUUUAGAAGUUCAUAAUAUUGUGAAACUCUAAAUUUGCCCAAAAAUUCAUGGGGACGUUCGCAGUAGAAAAGGACUCUAAAUGUAAUUAAUAUGAGUAAUAAUAUAAUCACAAACUCUUGUACAAAUUUAUUUCGUACAAACUGAUGUGUCAUGAUAAAAUUGGUUGAAUUAAAUAUUUCUGGACCCACAUGAUCUAUUUUUAUUAUUUUGUAUUUUCAUUCAACCAAUGAAUUAAUGCCAAAUCAGUUUGUACAAGAUAAAUUUGUACAAAAGUUUGUGGUUGUAUCAUCACUCAAUUAAUAUCUGCGGCAAUGCAUACAUUGUGUCCCAUGGUUAAAUUUUUAUUUUAUGGUUUCCACUGUGAGAAGAGAAUUUUCGUCCCAUAAAGAAGAGAACGAGGAAAAAGAAAAAGAAAGAAGUUCAAAACUGCAGCGUAAUCAAUAGAAGCUGACAUAAACAUUUCUACACAAGUACACACGGUAAAUCUCAGAUAGCAAGCCAAAGAUAUUAGUCUUAGUCGCUGCUAUCAUUUUAUUCCAUAUUUAUACAGAAGAGCCAUGUCACUUUAUUGAUGAUAUUAUUAUUUAUUAUAAUUUUUAUAUGACAUGGUUCUUCAAGGCUAGUUUAGAACUAUAUUGGGAUCGCCAGGUUUUGCUUCUUGAUAGAAGAAGGCGGCAGCGGGAAUGUUGUGAAGGUCCAAUCAAGCACCUGAUGGCUUUCUGCUCUCCCGAGCCCUGUAGAUGCCGUGAAGCCAACAUAGACUGAGCUUAGAACUGUUUCUGACAUGACAAUAGGUCUUUCAAUCAACUUCUGAAGUGGGUUCCCCGCAUCAUAUGCCACAUAAACACAGAGUAUUUUCGUUCAUCCAUCGUAAUAAACUUGAACCUGGAUCGGUCUUCCACUUUUGAGAUCAAUGCCAAAGCUGUCGAGACUCUUAGCUGGAUCUGAUAUUAAGCUUGCUAUGUCGAUGCCGAUAUGGUUAUUAUCUGGAUCAUUUUUAUUUUUGUUCUUGAAUGUGUCCAGCUCCACGGCUAAUAUCGAACCAUUGUUACCUACAUAUAUAAUUUUCAUAUGCAUUAUAUAUAUAUAUAUAUAUAAAAUUAUCUCAAGAAGGUUUCCGCACAUUAUUUGGUGAGGGCUCCCCACCAUAUGCUACUAUUACAACACCCGCCAUAUUAGGGGUGUUCAGAAUCCAAUCCGAUCCGCCUAAUCCGUCCGAUCCGCUCAAUUCGAUCCGUAUAAAUCCAAUCCGUGGAUUGGUGGAUUGGAUAUGGAUUGAAAAUUUAAAAAUCCGCAGUCGAUGGAUUGGAUAUGGAUUUACUUCUGUAAAUCCGCAGAAAUCCGUGAAUCUGCAAAAAAAAUAAAUAAAUAUAUAAUUAAAAAUUAUUAUAAAUUUAAUUAAAAAAAUUUAUAAAUGUGACAUUACAUAGUUACAUAAGCACUAUAACAUAUCUUAGCCAUUACCCAACAAUAAUAUAAAAUAAAAAAUAAUUAAAUAAUCAAAUAUAACUUGUAAAAAUUGUAAAACAAAAUAAAAGCAAAGUCACACGCACUAGCAAAAGCAAAGUAACAUAACGCCAAGUCACCAACAAUUUGCAAAGUCACCCAAAAGCAAAGUAACAUGACGGCAAGUCACCAACAAUUUGCAAACAAAAAACCCUAAGCUUUCCCGCCGUCACACACACUAGCAACACUCGAUACUGGUUGGAUACACUCUUGACACGAAUUUGAAGGACAUCGGCCGCUGAUUUCGGCGAGAACAAGCCAUCUUCUUUCCCAAGUCCAUCGAGCCACUUCACAUUCACUGGUUCCAGCUGAACAAUUUCACUAUCACAACCUUCAAGAUCGCCACCCAUACGGCUUCUUCUGAUUCCCAUCGUGGACGGCUCUGUAAUCACCACUUUUCGACAGGCGCAACAACCCUGAUGAAGGAUCAGACUGUAUUUGGUUCCCGAAACUUCGCCAUUUCAAUUAAUUGUGGCUUUAUUCGAACAAUUAAUUUCGAUGUUAUAUUAACGUAUUAUUAUAACUUUAUUUGAACAAUUAAGCUUGAUGUGUUAUAUUUUGAAACUUUGAACGUAUUAUUGUAGCUUUAUUUGAAUAAUUAGUCUCGAUGUGUUAUAUUUUGAAACUUUAAAUGUAUUGUUUUAGCUUUAUUUAAAUAAUUAAUUAAUUUAAAUUUUAUUAAAUUUUAAAUUUAAUUGGUAACAAAAUUAUUUUUAUAUUAGAUUUUUUUUAUUUCAUUAGUUGGAGAGAACUGAAAAUUUUUAUUUCGAAAACUAAUGCGCAAAAUGGUGGAUUGGAUAUGGAUUGAGUCAAAUCCGCAUCCGAUCCGCAGACGUAUGGAUUGGAUAUGGAUUGAGUCAAAUCCGCAUCCGAUCCGCAGACGUAUGGAUUGGAUAUGGAUUGAGUCAAAUCCGCAUCCGAUCCGCAAAUGUAUGGAUUGGAUUUGGAUUGAAUUUUAUCAAUCCGUGGAUUGGAUUGGCUUGGAUUGAAAAAUUAUAAUCCGCAAAAUCACGGAUCAGAUAUGAAUUGAUGUCCAAUCCGUAAAAUCCGAUCCGUGAACACCCCUACGCCAUAUGGUAUAACAACAUUUCUUCAUUUUAAUAAAGCGUAGAACUCUCAUUAUAUAGUUCUUAUUCAAUAAGGACAUCUUUAUUUUGUUAAAGUGAAAAUAUUACUAAAAUAUAAAAAAUUUUAAUAUAUUAGAUACUGUAUUUUUUUAUUUGUUAAUAUAUUAAAAUAUGUAUUAUGUUUGUCUAUUAAUGGCAUCCAUAGUUUAUUAAAACGAGGUUGUAUUCAAUAAUAAUAAUAUACACGCAUAUAUAUCAUCAUAUUGUUUAUCAGUACUGUUAUUAUAUAUAUUAUUCGCCUAUGCAAGCAUCAAGUAUGUGUCAUUACUUUAUCUGUGUUAAUUCUUAAUUAUUCACAUUUGAUCAUCAUAGCCGAUGUAGUCAGUCCAAGAUUUCCGAAGCCGCUGUUUGGUGGUGAAGGGCUGCUAUCGGGUGUAAGAACAAACGUCAUGCCUUCUACCGAAUCCGUUGUAUUUGGGUAGGGUGAGAUCCUAAUGGUGAAGGUGGUACUAAUCAUAGCUGGCCAUGCAGUCACAGGCUGGCUGUAUAAAACCCGUCCAACCUUAUUUAGCGGCAGCUGAUCUGGCGAUUCUGGUGAAG
Molecule: long non-coding RNA, 15960 nt
Filed under: Citrus x clementina
Lineage: Eukaryota; Viridiplantae; Streptophyta; Magnoliopsida; Sapindales; Rutaceae
Description: Citrus clementina (C. clementina) long non-coding RNA (CCLE_LNC006467)
Source: RNAcentral